CCUACGGGGGGCAGCAGUGGGGAAUUUUCCGCAAUGGGCGAAAGCCUGACGGAGCAAUACCGCGUGAGGGAGGAAGGCUCUUGGGUUGUAAACCUCUUUUCUCAGGGAAGAAUAAUGACGGUACCUGAGGAAUCAGCAUCGGCUAACUCCGUGCCAGCAGCCGCGGUAAUACGGAGGAUGCAAGCGUUAUCCGGAAUUAUUGGGCGUAAAGCGUCUGUAGGUGGAUGUUCAAGUCUGCUGUCAAAGACCGGGGCUUAACCCUGGAAAGGCAGUGGAAACUGAAGAUCUAGAGUGCGGUAGGGGCAGAGGGAAUUCCCAGUGUAGCGGUGAAAUGCGUAGAGAUUGGGAAGAACACCGGUGGCGAAAGCGCUCUGCUAGGCCAAAACUGACACUAAGGGACGAAAGCUAGGGGAGCGAAUGGGAUUAGAUACC
This 432-nucleotide ribosomal RNA is filed under the name uncultured bacterium. RNAcentral's name for it is "bacterial SSU rRNA". It matches the Rfam family "Bacterial small subunit ribosomal RNA", at positions 338 to 786 of the family's 1533-position model. The record is from RNAcentral.